AUUGAACGCUGGCGGCAGGCCUAACACAUGCAAGUCGAGCGAGCGGCGGACGGGUGAGUAAUGUCUGGGGAACUGCCUGAUGGAGGGGGAUAACUACUGGAAACGGUAGCUAAUACCGCAUACCAUCAGAUGUGCCCAUAUGGGAUUAGCUAGUAGGUGGGGUAACGGCUCACCUAGGCGACGAUCCCUAGCUGGUCUGAGAGGAUGACCAGCCAAACUGGAACUGAGACACGGUCCAGACUCCUACGGGAGGCAGCAGUGGGGAAUAUUGCACAAUGGGCGCAAGCCUGAUGCAGCCAUGCCGCGUGUAUGAAGAAGGCCUUCGGGUUGUAAAGCACUUUCAGUCGGGAGGCGUUACCCGCAGAAGAAGCACCGGCUAACUCCGUGCCAGCAGCCGCGGUAAUUC
RNAcentral lists this ribosomal RNA (406 nucleotides) under uncultured bacterium. Its description in RNAcentral is "partial 16S ribosomal RNA". It matches the Rfam family "Bacterial small subunit ribosomal RNA", at positions 30 to 526 of the family's 1533-position model. The record is from RNAcentral.